RNA transcript from Hermetia illucens (black soldier fly), 874 nucleotides. RefSeq lists it as uncharacterized. The record is from RefSeq and is a predicted model, not a curated record. The transcript has 3 exons. Lineage: Eukaryota; Metazoa; Arthropoda; Insecta; Diptera; Stratiomyidae.
GACGGAAGAAAAAACAAUUGCCUUCUUCUGCCUCCAGCUUUUACCGCGGUCAGACGUGUGUUUUUCCUCGUUAUAAUAAAAGGCGUUUAUUCUGUGUGAUAGCUAUUCAAGAGGACGAUUACAGGGGCGCUUUUAGAGGCUUAGCACUUUACUCGGUUUGGUUGUAUGAUUGUGGACGCCUUACAGUUUCCUUUCAAAGUACAAGCAGCGUGGGAGUUUCUAGGAACAUCUUGAAUCGUAACUGAAUCAUGAGACUACAAGCAUGUGAAUGUCUCACUUUUACCUUUUUUACCUCUUUUAUGAAAUUUGGAGAUUGAUUUCCAAGGAAGCAUGCGAGGGAGUAUAGGACUUGACAUUAUCUACUUUUUUACUGUCAACGCAGAAAUAGACGUCCUGCGCCAAGGUAGUGAUCAGCUGAUUGAAGACUUUUACUACCCUGCCCUUCAAGCAGCACUCGAACAAGGUUCUUAUAAGAACAUCUCUACAGUUCAAGAUGUCAAAAAUGAAGUUAAAAUGAGAGCCAUGUUUGGACUUUUCGGUGCAGUCUUGGUCUUACCUAUAAUUUCAUUGAAUAAGAAAGACUCAGCUGAAAAUUCUGUUGAAGCAAUGAGGGAUGAAAAUAAAGCAGAAAAGAUCGCCGACAUCUGUUGCUCAUCAGAACGAUUCCGCCAGAGAGCAUAAAAAUUUUACUGAAAGAAUACGAAAAUUAUGGAUUAUUUAAUUGAUUAGAUUAUACGAGCGGCGAACUAUACUGUACGGUUAGAAAAAAAGUUUUGGUAUACACACAAAUUGAUAAUAUCUACUGUAUGAAAUUAAUACAAUUCCAAUGUAUAUAAAUAUGUAUAAAAGUUACACUCCCAAUCAAGGACUUCAA